RNAcentral lists this ribosomal RNA (242 nucleotides) under uncultured bacterium. RNAcentral describes it as "partial 16S ribosomal RNA". It matches the Rfam family "Bacterial small subunit ribosomal RNA", at positions 117 to 353 of the family's 1533-position model. The record is from RNAcentral.
GUGAGCAACCUGCCUUUCAGUGGGGGACAACAUUUGGAAACGAAAUGCUAAUACCGCAUAAGACCACAGUGUCGCAUGGCACAGGGGUCAAAGGAUUUAUUCCGCUGAAAGAUGGGCUCGCGUCCGAUUAGCUAGAUGGUGAGGUAACGGCCCACCAUGGCGACGAUCGGUAGCCGGACUGAGAGGUUGAACGGCCACAUUGGGACUGAGACACGGCCCAGACUCCUACGGGAGGCAGCAUG